Molecule: ribosomal RNA, 261 nt
Filed under: uncultured archaeon
Lineage: Archaea
Description: partial 16S ribosomal RNA
Rfam family: Archaeal small subunit ribosomal RNA
Source: RNAcentral
CAGCCGUAAACGAUGCGCGUUAGGUGUAUCGACGACCACGAGUCGUCGAGGUGCCGAAGGGAAACCGUGAAACGUGCCGCCUGGGAAGUACGGUCGCAAGGCUGAAACUUAAAGGAAUUGGCGGGGGAGCACCACAACAGGUGGAGCCUGCGGUUUAAUUGGACUCAACGCCGGAAAUCUCACCGGAUAAGACAGCAGAAUGAUUGCCGGGCUGAAGACCCUGCAUGACUAGCUGAGAGGUGGUGCAUGGCGUCAGUGACU